GGGAUGUCUUCAAUGUGGUUUCUCGUUUCCUUUUUUCCAAAAGGACCUCUGGUUGAUGCUGAUUUCUGACUUUCGGACAUAAAAGGAGCUGAAGAUCAGGCCACGCAGAAGAUACGAUGUUCCUUUUGCUUCCAGUGGGCAUUUCACAACUUGGACCAGAGCGAGGGACGCAGAGUUCCAAGGACUUCUGUUUUUUCCAGGUAGAUGGGAAAUUGCAGACCUGAACAGUGAAGCAGUUUGCAUGUGAUUGUGCAGCUUGGAGAGUGAAAGAGUCCAGGUAAUUUGGCAGCUAAUAGACAAGAUUAAACAGCACUGUGCCAACUGGUUUAUCAGAGAAGUGAACACUGGGAGAGGGAGUUGGAGCAAAAAUGGAGGACGAGAGAGUGGAGAAAACUCCUGAAUCAAAGAUUCUCCGGGUGGAAAGAUUUAUAGAAAUUGUCCAGAUUAAUUAACCUCUUCCCUGCUGAGACAGUCCUGCAUUAUUUUUCUACCAGAUAAUCAACCUUAACUUAAUCCCUUAUCAUGUGGUCCAUUUUAUUUGUAGGCUACUGUCACUGUUCAAGACAACUUCUUCAUCUGGUCUAAAAAAUUGAUUUUUAAAAAUUGCCAUCUACUGGACCAGUCAAGGUCUCUGGAGUUAACAAGAUGAUUAUAAAUAUCUUUUUG
Molecule: long non-coding RNA, 666 nt
Filed under: Cavia porcellus (domestic guinea pig)
Lineage: Eukaryota; Metazoa; Chordata; Mammalia; Rodentia; Caviidae
Description: lncRNA (ENSCPOG00000030653.1)
Source: RNAcentral